UACAGAGGGGGCAAGCGUUGUUCGGAAUUACUGGGCGUAAAGCGUGCGCAGGCGGUUUUGUAGGCCAGAUGUGAAAUCCCCGGGCUUAACCUGGGAAUGGCAUUUGGGACUGCAAGGCUUGAGUGCGGCAGAGGAGACUGGAAUUCCUGGUGUAGCAGUGAAAUGCGUAGAUAUCAGGAGGAAUACCGAUGGCGAAGGCAGGUCUCUGGGCUGACACUGACGCUCAUGCACGAAAGCGUGGGGAGCAAACAGG
Molecule: ribosomal RNA, 253 nt
Filed under: uncultured bacterium
Lineage: Bacteria
Description: partial 16S ribosomal RNA
Rfam family: Bacterial small subunit ribosomal RNA
Source: RNAcentral